UUUUUUUUUUUUUAAUUUUUGGAAUAAUCUAUAAAUUCACUAGCCAAAGGCAUACUAUCGUUGGCAUUUUGCCAUUGACAUCGUUAUUUACCAGGUGGACCUAGCCAAACAUGGGGACCAGAAAUGGAGGCCAGUUUAGACCUGGCCAAACAUGGGGACCAGAUUUGGUCUCGGUUUUUAUCAAAUCCAACGGUUGAUUUUUUUUUUUUUUGGUGAAAA
RNAcentral lists this unclassified non-coding RNA (219 nucleotides) under Hevea brasiliensis (rubber tree). Lineage: Eukaryota; Viridiplantae; Streptophyta; Magnoliopsida; Malpighiales; Euphorbiaceae. The record is from RNAcentral.